UGUAUUUUAGUAGAGACGGGGUUUCGCCAUGUUGGCCAUGCUGUUCAGGCAUUUUUAUACAAGGCAAUUCCUGUCAGCUCACAACAGUACUAGGAGAAAAGUGGAGCUGUAUCCUUUUUGCAGCCAGCUCACGGUUUUAUCUUCAUCAGCCUGGUCAAAGCUGGAUUUCCAUCACACAUGUGCUCACUCCACGGAACGUGCAAAAGGUCAAGACAUACAAACUCAGAGUUUUUAAAAUCAAGAAUUGAAAGUGGUCCACUAGCUUCUGUUCAUAGGACAUUGAGCCCCAGAUUUGGCACAUGACCUCUUAAGGCUCUAAUAUCUUGUCUUCUGGCUAUGAGAACAGAGCAUAUGGUUUGCUUGAAGAUUCUUGUUCAACACUUAUCCAUUAAUCUGACAGCAGGAAGUGCUAAAGAGCAGAAACAGGAGUCGGUCAGACUCUCACCUCAAGUCCAAGGCAAAUAUGCUUGCCCCUAAAAGACAUACUUGAUCUUCAAGUUCAGGAAAACCAGAUACAAAGGUAACUGCUAACAUUUCUCCCUUAUGAUUUCGGGACAUUCUUUCAGUAAGCUAUUUCAUCAGUAAUUAUAUUAUUCAUAUAUGAUUUUUUCCCUUAUAGAACAACACACACA
Molecule: long non-coding RNA, 632 nt
Filed under: Homo sapiens (human)
Lineage: Eukaryota; Metazoa; Chordata; Mammalia; Primates; Hominidae
Description: HSALNT0367108
Source: RNAcentral